UACGGGGGGGGCAAGCGUUGUUCGGAAUUACUGGGCGUAAAGGGCUUGUAGGUGGCCAACUAAGUCAGACGUGAAAUCCCUCGGCUUAACCGGGGAACUGCGUCUGAUACUGGAUGGCUAGAGUGUGGGAGAGGGAUGCGGAAUUCCAGGUGUAGCGGUGAAAUGCGUAGAUAUCUGGAGGAACACCCGUGGCGAAGGCGGCUCUCUGGGACGGUACUGACGCUGAGACGCGAAAGCGUGGGGAGCGAACAGG
RNAcentral lists this ribosomal RNA (253 nucleotides) under uncultured bacterium. RNAcentral's name for it is "partial 16S ribosomal RNA". It matches the Rfam family "Bacterial small subunit ribosomal RNA", at positions 524 to 776 of the family's 1533-position model. The record is from RNAcentral.